This is a long non-coding RNA of Pezoporus occidentalis (night parrot), 1024 nucleotides long. RefSeq lists it as uncharacterized. Lineage: Eukaryota; Metazoa; Chordata; Aves; Psittaciformes; Psittacidae. The record is from RefSeq and is a predicted model, not a curated record. The transcript has 2 exons.
CUGGCAUUUUUGUUACAUACUUAUUCUGUAAUUUUCUACGUAGAUAUAGUAAUAUUUUUUACAGAAAUACAGGGGAAACACUGAAAUACAAUGGGCACCCAUUUAAUUUGUACCUUUAAAGAUUAUAAAAAAGCAAAUGAAGUUAUGCACUUCUUUGAGGAACUGGAAAUUAGCUUACCAAGUUACAUACUAGAUAGUUUCGGUAUAUCAGGGUUUAACACUUGCAAAAUAACUCAGACUAAACACGCUACUGGACAUCACUGGAUUUAGUGAGUCACACAAAAGAUAUGCACAGAGAAGCCACAGAUCAGUUUGUGUCAUUUUGUCUUGUUGUCCUGUAAUUUCAGGCUAUUGGAAGACGACUUUUGUUUCUGGUAACUGCAAAGAUGAUCCUUCAUAAUUACUUACUAAGUUUCUGGGUUUUUUACCAGUGUAGCAUUUCUGGACCAUCAAUGCAAAUUAAUAAUUUAUAUGCAUUAAUAAUUUACACUAGGGAGUCUGAUGGAGUAACAGAGGCUGGAAGCCAUGGGAUUAAAGGGAAGUAGGAUCUUCCCUGUAGUAACUGAAGUCACCAGGCUCACGAAGAGAGACUAAAAGAAGAUGUAUGGGGACUCUCCUGUCUUUGUGGAGAAGAGCAAUGUGCUCUACGAGGCUGGGUGAACAACCUACCCCAUCAGCACAGGAAAACCUGGGCUGGGAAGAGAAAUCCAAGCAGAAAAUCGCUUCAACCAUGGCUGGCCUCAGAAGGUUAAUCACAGAGGCACAGGAGAAAUAUGGGCAAGAUCAAGUGGAAACCUGAGGAGGUGGAUGCUGAAUACACAGAUAAAAUCUCUGUAUUGCACGUAAUCUUGUCUUUUCUCUGAUUUGCCUGUGAGUCAUGUUGCAGCCUGGGAAUCAUCUAUGCCCCAUGGAAGUGCUCAUGUUCAGCUGUUUUGUGUAAUUCAUCCCUAACUGUCCAUGUUAUUUAGCUUGUAGUUUUGUAUAAGACCAAUUUAAAAAUAAACAUAAGCCUUGCAGAGACCUA